RNAcentral lists this ribosomal RNA (493 nucleotides) under uncultured Sphingobacteriales bacterium. RNAcentral's name for it is "bacterial SSU rRNA". It matches the Rfam family "Bacterial small subunit ribosomal RNA", at positions 889 to 1382 of the family's 1533-position model. The record is from RNAcentral. Lineage: Bacteria; Pseudomonadati; Bacteroidota; Sphingobacteriia; Sphingobacteriales.
CGAACGUAAACGUAAAGUAAUAGGACGGGGCCCGGCACAAGCGGAGGAGCAUGUGGUUUAAUUCGAUGAUACGCGAGGAACCUUACCUGGGCUCGAACGUAAGAUGACUGUAGGUGAAAGCUUACAUCUCUUCGGAGCAUUUUACGAGGUGCUGCAUGGUUGUCGUCAGCUCGUGCCGUGAGGUGUCGGGUUAAGUCCCAUAACGAGCGCAACCCCUACCUUUAGUUGCCAUCAGGUAAUGCUGGGGACUCUAAAGGAACUGCCUACGCAAGUAGUGAGGAAGGCGGGGAUGACGUCAAAUCAGCACGGCCCUUACGUCCAGGGCUACACACGUGCUACAAUGGCCGAUACAGAGGGCAGCUACCUGGUGACAGGAUGCAAAUCUCCAAAGUCGGUCUCAGUUCGGAUCGGAGUCUGCAACCCGACUCCGUGAAGUUGGAUUCGCUAGUAAUCGCGCAUCAGCCAUGGCGCGGUGAAUACGUUCCCGGGCCUU